UGGUUUGUUCUAAACAUUUCCGACGACUGAACACAAUAGGUCAUGGAGCCAUAUCUUUCACCACGUCUUCCUUUUUUUCGUCUAACAGUUUGCCUAAUGUCAGCUGGAACACACGGAAUAGUGCACUGCAGCUGGGGACAAUUACGUAGUCAGUGAUGCUACUGACGCACGCCAUUUUGGAGCAGCUUUUCGACCAUUGGAGCAGAGAACCAAGAGCGCCCUGAAAGGAGUCCGCUUUGGGACUAUCGAAGCCAUCCAAACCGCCAUGACAAAGACUCUAAAAGAGGUUCCCGUCGACGCCUUCCAGGAUGUAUACAGUGCAUGGCAGAGUCACUGGCAAAAAUGUGCAGAUGCAAGAAGAGCCUACUACAAAGAAUUCUAAACAUUUGUAAUGAUAUCUUGAAUAAACUUUUUUUUUUUUUUUU
Dermacentor andersoni is the source of this 425-nucleotide long non-coding RNA. RefSeq lists it as uncharacterized. The record is from RefSeq and is a predicted model, not a curated record. Lineage: Eukaryota; Metazoa; Arthropoda; Arachnida; Ixodida; Ixodidae.